Molecule: ribosomal RNA, 269 nt
Filed under: uncultured bacterium
Lineage: Bacteria
Description: partial 16S ribosomal RNA
Rfam family: Bacterial small subunit ribosomal RNA
Source: RNAcentral
UUUGAUGGCGACCGGCGCACGGGUGAGUAACACGUAUCCAACCUGCCGAUGACUCGGGGAUAGCCUUUCGAAAGAAAGAUUAAUACCCGAUGGCAUAGUUCUUCCGCAUGGUAGAACUAUUAAAGAAUUCGGUCAUCGAUGGGGAUGCGUUCCAUUAGGUUGUUGGCGGGGUAACGGCCCACCAAGCCUUCGAUGGAUAGGGGUUCUGAGAGGAAGGUCCCCCACAUUGGAACUGAGACACGGUCCAAACUCCUACGGGAGGCAGCAUG